Podarcis lilfordi (Lilford's wall lizard) is the source of this 3570-nucleotide non-coding RNA. The record is from the annotation of a GenBank genome assembly. Lineage: Eukaryota; Metazoa; Chordata; Lepidosauria; Squamata; Lacertidae.
GAGGCAUAGCUGUUGCACACAGCAAGCACCUGCAUGCUCUAAAAUCUCACAAGGCACAAGAGUCUCUGGAGUGAGCUGGCCUUGCCACAUCUUUACAAGCUUGGAAGGUAGGCAUCCCAACUCGUUGGGACAUCUCUGUCGCUUCCGUGCCGUUCUGAAUCAGUCUUUGCCCUGAUCUCAGGCUCCUUAAAUCAGCCUUUCUCAACCUGUGGGUCCCCAGAUGUUGUUGAACUACAACUCCCAUCACCCCUAGCUAGCAAGGCCAGAGCUCAGGGAUGAUGGGAGUUGUAGUCCAACAACAUCUGGGGACCCACAGGUUGAGAACCGCUGCCUUAAAUGGAGACAGCCGUUUCUAGCCUCAUCUUUCCUGCCACCUACCCUGAGCGUAGUGGCUGCUGCGACUCCUCACCUAUUGCUGAGCCUGUAAAUUUUCUCUGCCUCAGUAAAGAUCUCUUCCUUAUUCUUGUGGUUUGGGUGGGAGCCAAGACACUGGCUGUCAGCAACUUCCCCCAAAUUUCAGAAGGGAGACAUUCCCAACUCUACCUGGAGAUUGCUGGGAUAGAACCUGGAACCUUCUUCAUUCAAGGCAGACGUUCUGCGCCUGAGCUACGGACCUUUCCCUAGCAACCUGUUGAGCUUCCAAGGUGAUAGCCCUAAUCAGUUGUGGCAGUUCUUAAUCUCUCAGCCUGGCCUUUUUAGAAGCCUUCCCAGUGCUGAGCAAUAGAGACUCCCUGCUCUGCUGAAGGUCUCUCUCACUCUCUUUCUCUCUCUGUCAUACACAUUAAAAGAAAUGAUAAUCAUAACUUCUGGCUUGCCCUGCAUGGAAAAAAACCCCUUCACGAUCCUACAGCUGUUCUCACUCUGGCAUUUAUAAUUUUAUUACUCAAAUAUGAGCUUUUGUUCACCGUCCAAGCGUAAUGAAAACAUAAUAUUUCAAUAUAAAAAUCCCCAUUUACCUUUCAAGCCGCUUUCCUGUCCAACAACGUUCCCUAGCAAUUUGUGUCCAAGCUGGGUCUCUCUCCCAUUAUUCAUGCCUUCCCUGGGCUCGUUCACAUUAAUAGGUGCUAAUUCUCCCUCUGUGACAUCAUCAGGGGUUCCCACGGCAACCAGCUGUGAUGUCACAAACACAAGACAAUGGCCCCUGGCGAAGAAGGGGAAGCCUGCGGGGAGAAUGAGUAAUGAAGCAGCAGCUGGAACAGCCCAUCAGCAAAAAUAUCUCUGGGCCCAAAAGCGUACCCACAAGUUGACGUCAUGUGAUCGUUUCUCAGCAGGCAAAGCCCGGGGCUGGAUGGAUGGAUGGGGUGUAGACUUAACGCUGUUGCAUUGGGGAUUUGCUGGUGAAUAAUAUGAUGUUUGGUGAUGAGCGUUUCAUCAGGCUACAUCCGCAUGGCUGUGGUCUCAGCACGCCUCUCAAUACCCAUUACUGGGAACUGCAGGUGGGGAGAAGGUUUCUCAGCUCUGGUUCUGCUUGUGGACCUCCCACAAACUUCUGGCCGGCCGCUAUGAGGACAGCAUGUUGGAUUAGAUGGGCCUGUAGUGGUGGCUUUUGAUGCACUAACUCCCACCUCAGUCCACUCCUUGUGAAAGUCCCCAACAUGUUUGAAUGGUCCUUUCCUGACAAUCCUCUCCAGGCUGUGGCCAUCCCUGGUGCUUGUGCACCUUUUUCUUCCACACUUUCCCCUUCCGCAUAACUUUCCAUUAAUGUGCUUCGAUACAGCACUUUGGGAACAUCCAACUUCUUCUGCAAUUACCUUUUGAGGCUUUCCCUCCUUAUGGAGGUUCUCAAAGAUGGCUUUCUGCACAACUGUCAGGUCAGCAGCCUUCCCCAUGAUUGUGCUUCCUACUGAACCAGACUGAGAGACCAUUUAAAGGCUUAGGAACCCAUUGCAGGUGUUAUGGAUUGAACAGCUACUGCACGUUUUCACAAUAUUCUAAUUUUCUGAGAUUGUUAAUUGGGGGGUUUCAUCAGCUGUACGCCAUAAUAUCGCAAUUAUAACAAAUAAAGGCUUGACAUAACUCGCUUUGCAUGUCAUGAGUCUAUCUCAUAUAUUAGUUUCACCUUCUAAGUUGAAUUACUGAAAUAAACGAACUUUUCCACGAUAUUCUAAUUUUUCGAGUUUCACCUGUAUUAUCCUUCAUCAACACAGAUUGAAAUUAGUUGAUGGCCACCGAUUUGGCUACACACCAAGUAAUGCCUUCCAAACACCAGUUGCUUGAAACCACAGGAGGGGAGAAGGUCCUUGUGCUCAGGACCUGCUUGUGGGUUUCCUGGAUUAGAUGGGGCAUUGGCCUGAUCCUGCAGGCUCUUCUUCCCUUCUUAAGCAGCAACGGCAGGAAUGUAAAAUUGAAAUUGAAAUACUUUAUUGUCUCUUGUACGACUUGUAUACAGUGAGAUGACACGAGCACCCCCCACUCAGCCUUCUUAGUCUUAAUUCCCCUCGUUUGCUGACGCACACCCACCAAACCCGAAAGUCAGUUGCCCUGUUGUUAUCUUUUAAUUCAGCAGCCUAACAGCCCACGGAUAGAAGCUGUUCUUUACCCUGUUGGUGCGACUAAUCCUGCUUCUAUAUCUUCUGCCCGAGGGCAGGAGAUCAAGAAAGUGCCGGCCAGGGUGUGAAUCAUCCUUGAGUAUUUUCCUGACUCUCCUGAGGCAACGUUCUUCCGCUAUUUCAUCCAGCGGAUUCAUGGGACAGCCCAUAAUAUCUUGUGCUGUAUUCACCACCCUCUGUAGGCACUUCCUAUCAGUUGAUGUCAAACCAGCGUCCCACACCGUGAUGCAGUAGGAAAGGACACUUUCUAUUGUGGACCGGUAGAAGGAGAUCAUCAAAUGUUGAUUGACAUCGUUCUUUCGCAAUACUCUGAUGAGAUGGAGUCUCUGUUGGGCUUUCUUAACCACCUGGGUUGUAUUGAUUUUCCAAGUAAGGUCUUGGAGAUGGCAUAAAGAAUAAUGCAUAUGCAACCUUAGACUUUAGAUGGCGGGGUGAGGGGUUCAGUCGGAAAUCUCUGGCAAUCACUUCCAUCCCCUCUCAGGUGGGCACCAUUGCCACUCUAAGAGAACAGGAGAGGCGUUCAUGGUGAGUUCUGGCACUUCUUUUUUGAGAAAAAUAGCACUUCUACUAAUCUUAUUUCCACCUAAUCCUCCUUAGGUGAUCAUUAUGCAUUGUCCCUCUGAUUUCAAAAUCUGGAAUGGCAGAUGAAGCUGAUGGAUUACAUGGAAUUGGCGGAAAUGACUGGUAGAAUCCGAGACCAGGGAGAAGAGUCGGUGGAAGAAGAUUGGAAGAAAUUUAAAACUUAUUUACAGAAAUAUUCUAAAAUUAAUGAAUGUUAGAAAGAUGCUGGAAAGAAGUUAUAUGACUUUAGUAGAAAUAUUAUAAAGAAUCAAGUAUGAAUAGAUUGAUAUUGGGUAAAGAGGUAAAUUUAAAUUUAAAAUUGCGUUAAGUUAAAUUAUGGAACUAAAUUUGUGAAAGAGGGAAAGGACUUGCUGGAAUAUUUAAUUGAACUAGAAUACAAAAAAGGAGGUUUGAGGAAGUCGAGGAAAUAAGCAAAUGAAAGAUAAGGAUAUGAAAACAU